GAUGAACGCUGACAGAAUGCUUAACACAUGCAAGUCAACUUGAACUUCGGUUUGGGUGGCGGACGGGCGAGUAACGCGUAAAGAACUUGCCUCACAGUUAGGGACAACAUUUGGAAACGAAUGCUAAUACCUGAUAUUAUGAUUUUAGGGCAUCCUAGAAUUAUGAAAGCUAUAUGCGCUGUGAGAGAGCUUUGCGUCCCAUUAGCUAGUUGGAGAGGUAACGGCUCACCAAGGCGAUGAUGGGUAGCCGGCCUGGGAGGGUGAACGGCCACAAGGGGACUGGGACACGGCCCUUACUCCUACGGGAGGCAGCAGUGGAGAAUAUUGGACAAAGGACCAAGAGUCUGAUCCAGCAAUUCUGUGUGCACGAUGAAGUUUUUCGGAAUGUAAAGUGCUUUCAGUUAGGAAGAAAAAAAUGACGGUACCAACAGAAGAAGUGACGGCUAAAUACGUG
This 454-nucleotide ribosomal RNA is filed under the name uncultured bacterium. Its description in RNAcentral is "partial 16S ribosomal RNA". It matches the Rfam family "Bacterial small subunit ribosomal RNA", at positions 28 to 507 of the family's 1533-position model. The record is from RNAcentral.